AUUUCAGAUAUUACAAAAAGUUAGUUGAUAAAUAUAACCAUCCACCAUAUUACAAAAUCAACAAAAAUAGUUAACAUAAAAGUCAAAAGAUCAUCGAUACAAAGUUAAACUAAAAUCAUAAUGAAAAAACUUCUAUUUUAAUGUAUGAUGAUAACCACCUUUUCACAUAAGAAGCACCCUUUCAAAAACUGUCCUUUUUCGAAAACCCUACAAAGAAAGGAUAUCCAUUAGAUAACAAAAUAUUAGAAAGAAAUGUACAUGAAGUUGGAAGAGAAAAAUAAAAACUACCAAAAAAAAGAAAUUGGUAAUAUAAAUACGAUAUACCUUAUGGCUUAUGCAUGUGUUUGAAUGAAAUAUGGUUAUCCCAUGGUUAUUUCAUGGGAUAGACAAAAAUCCACCUCCUUCAUUCUCCUCCAAAUAUUCUUCACCCUUUGGAAAAAUGAGUAAUCAAGUUUUUGCAUGUUCUUGCAAUGAUUUUUAUAGAAAAUAAAAUUAUGCACUAAAUUUGUUCAAUUUGUAGGUUAUCAAUAUAAAAUAAUGAGUAGUGGAAAGAGCU
RNAcentral lists this long non-coding RNA (556 nucleotides) under Medicago truncatula (barrel medic). RNAcentral's name for it is "long non-coding RNA (MTRU_LNC001086)". The record is from RNAcentral. Lineage: Eukaryota; Viridiplantae; Streptophyta; Magnoliopsida; Fabales; Fabaceae.